RNAcentral lists this ribosomal RNA (253 nucleotides) under uncultured bacterium. RNAcentral describes it as "partial 16S ribosomal RNA". It matches the Rfam family "Bacterial small subunit ribosomal RNA", at positions 524 to 776 of the family's 1533-position model. The record is from RNAcentral.
UACGUAGGGUCCGAGCGUUGUCCGGAAUUACUUGGCGUAAAGAGCUCGUAGGUGGUUUGUCGCGUUGUUCGUGAAAACUCACAGCUCAACUGUGGGCGUGCGGGCGAUACGGGCAGACUGGAGUACUGCAGGGGAGACUGGAAUUCCUGGUGUAGCGGUGGAAUGCGCAGAUAUCAGGAGGAACACCGGUGGCGAAGGCGGGUCUCUGGGCAGUAACUGACGCUGAGGAGCGAAAGCGUGGGGAGCGAACAGG